This is a long non-coding RNA of Colias croceus (clouded yellow), 567 nucleotides long. RefSeq lists it as uncharacterized. Lineage: Eukaryota; Metazoa; Arthropoda; Insecta; Lepidoptera; Pieridae. The record is from RefSeq and is a predicted model, not a curated record. The transcript is spliced from 2 exons.
UUGUAAUAUUUUAACGAAAUUUUAAAUGUUAUUUGCAAGGUUUUAAAUACUAUUAUUGACUGUUAAAAUUGUAGUAAGUAAAUCUGUGGUCUGUGUGCUGUGGCAUUGCAGCAAAAGAAAAGAUAUCGUGAUUUGAUAGCGAUUUGUUUUGCGAAUUACAAGCAUUCGUGCUGAAGACAUUCAUUAAUUUCUCAUUGCAAUUUGCAACUAUUGUGUGGAUCUUAGUUGUUUGUAGUUUCAAAUAGAAAAGGGUGGAAUUGGAAACUGGAAACCCUUUCUUAACAAGUUUAAUUUUAGUUACCUACCUGUCCUUCCUAAGCUUAUUUUUCAAAGCUACUGAAAUUAAAGGUUUGAGUCUGCGAGUGGAACGGCUGGAGUCUCGCCAUAAAGUGAGCUUCAACUCCUUCGUGGUGAGAGUACCGACUGCCAAGCUGAGCGUUUACAUGUGCGAAGGGUUUUGGCCGCAGGGAGUUGUGUUUCGCCGCUUCCGCGGACGGAUACCGAGCAGAAUCGCGUCACACGCCGAAGACAUAUAUAGCGUUUAUUAAUUUAGUAUUUAAGUAGUUU